AUGGACAAGUCCAGCGCCCUCGAGUACAUCAACCAGAUGUUCCCCACCGAGGCGUCGCUGUCGGGGGUCGAGCCGCUGAUGCAGAAGAUUCAGAGCGAGAUUCGCCGGGUGGACGCCAGCAUCCUCGCCGCCGUCCGACAGCAGAGUAACUCGGGAACCAAGGCCAAGGAAGAACUUGCUGCAGCCACAAAUGCUGUUCAGGAACUAAUGUAUAAGAUACGUGAAAUAAAAACGAAGGCUGAACAAAGUGAAACAAUGGUUCAAGAAAUCUGCCGGGACAUAAAGAAGUUGGAUUGCGCCAAGAGGCAUAUAACAACUACAAUAACGGCUCUUCACCGCCUUACUAUGCUUGUUUCUGCUGUCGAGCAACUUCAGGUCAUGGCCUCAAAGCGUCAGUACAAAGAAGCAGCUGCACAACUCGAGGCAGUGAACCAGCUGUGCAGUCAUUUUGAAGCCUAUCGGGAUGUGCCAAAAAUAUCAGAGCUCAGAGAGAAACUCAAGAACAUCAAGAAAAUCCUCAAAUCUCAUGUAUAUUCAGAUUUUACAAGCUUAGGGACUGGGAAGGAAACAGAAGAUGAGGAUCUAUUGCAGCAGCUAUCUGAUGCUUGUUUGGUGGUUGAUGCUCUGGAACCGUCCGUGAGGGAAGAACUAGUAAAGAAUUUUUGCAGCAAGGAGCUUAUCUCGUAUAAGCAGAUCUUUGACGGAGCAGAAUUGGCCAAGUUAGACAAGACUGAAAGGAGAUAUGCAUGGAUUAAGCGUCGAUUGCGGUCAAAUGAAGAUACCUGGAAAAUAUUUCCACCUUCCUGGCAUGUUGAUUAUCUGUUGUGUAUCCAGUUCUGCAAGAUUACAAGGACCCAACUUGUCGAUAUCCUGAAUAAUCUCAAAGAAAAGCCAGAUGUUGCAACUUUAUUAUUGGCGUUGCAAAGAACCCUUGAAUUUGAGGAAGAACUGGCUGAGAAAUUCAGUGGAGGAACCACGACUGCUCGGAAUAGAGAGCUGGAAAGUGAUGAUGAAAAUGAGGGUACGGAACACAAUAAAAUUGUUUCAGAUAUACGGAAGAAAUACGAGAAGAAACUGGGAGUGCCCAAUGAUGAAGCUGAACAAGACAAAGAGAAGCAGAAAGAUUUGUCAGUUCCUGGUGCUGGGUUCAACUUUCAUGGGAUUAUAUCAUCUUGUUUUGAGCCAUACAUGGCUGUGUACAUAGAACUAGAGGAGAAAUCUUUGGUCGAACAAUUAGAUAAACUUAUCCAGGAAGAAAAAUGGGAAAUUGAGGAAGGGAGUCAAACAAACAUUCUAUCAAGCAGCAUGCAGGUGUUCUUGGUAAUUAGAAGAAGCUUAAAGAGGUGCAGUGCAUUGACAAAGAACCAAACAUUAUUCAACUUGUUUCAGGUAUUUCAAAGAAUACUUAAGGCCUAUGCAGCAAAAUUAUAUGCCAGGUUGCCAAAAGGUGGUACUGGCAUUGUUGCAGCUGCUACUGGUACCGACGGGCAGAUCAGGACCUCUGACAGGGACGAGAAAAUGAUAUGUUACAUUGUAAAUACCGCAGAAUAUUGUCACCAAACGUCUGGUGAGCUAGCUGAGAAUGUUGCUAAGAUAAUUAGUUCUCAGUUUUCUGACAAGGUGGACGUGUCUGACGUUCAGGAUGAAUUCUCAGCUGUGAUCACAAAAGCAUUGAUGACACUUGUGCAUGGCGUAGAAACCAAAUUUGACGCUGAAAUGGUUGCAAUGACUCGCGUUCCAUGGUCGACUCUUGAAAGUGUCGGCGAUCAAUCCGAGUACGUGAAUUGUAUCAGCUCUAUUUUGUCCAGUACCGUUCCUGCGCUAGGUAGCCUGCUUUCACCUACUUACUUCCAGUAUUUCCUCGACAAACUGGCUGCCUCGCUUGGUCCUCGGUUUUAUCUCAAUAUAUACAAGUGCAAGCACAUAUCGGAAACUGGUGCACAGCAGAUGCUUUUGGAUACUCAAGCGGUUAAGACUGUUCUAUUGGACAUCCCAGCUCUUGGGAAACAGACUACAGUUGCGGCUAGCUACUCAAAGUUUGUAACCCGGGAAAUGAGCAAAGCUGAAGCACUCCUCAAGGUUAUUUUGUCACCAGUUGAUUCUGUUGCCAGUACCUACCGUGCUCUCCUUCCAGAAGGCACGCCUCUUGAGUUUCAGCGGAUACUUGAGCUUAAGGGCUUGAAGAAAGCAGACCAACAAGCUAUACUGGAAGACUUCAACAAGCACAGUCCCAGCAUCAAGCACCCUACCAUUACCCCCACAGCCGCGCCACCAGUUGCCACAGCCACAGCAUCAGUCCCGAUGGCACCAGUCCCGCUCCCAACCCAAGCCGUCGCAGCGUCACCGAGCAUGUCCACCGCCUUGACGGGCGCUCUGGCCAACCGGGAGGACGUGCUCGCCCGCGCCGCAGCGCUCGGGCGCGGCGCCGCCACGACGGGGUUCAAGAGGUUCCUAGCAUUGACAGAGGCGGCCAAAGACCGGAAGGACGGGCCGUUCCGUAAGCUGUUCAACGCGUAA
This 2517-nucleotide ribosomal RNA is filed under the name Triticum aestivum (bread wheat). RNAcentral's name for it is "partial small subunit ribosomal RNA". Lineage: Eukaryota; Viridiplantae; Streptophyta; Magnoliopsida; Poales; Poaceae. The record is from RNAcentral.